UUCGCAAUGCCCGAAAGGGUGACGAAGCGACGCCGCGUGCGGGAAGAAGGCCUUCGGGUUGUAAACCGCUGUCGGGAGUUAAGAAAUGUAAGGAUGUUAAUAGCAUCUUUGCUUGACUAAGGCUCCGGAGGAAGCCACGGCUAACUCUGUGCCAGCAGCCGCGGUAAUACAGAGGCGGCAAGCGUUGCUCGGAAUUAUUGGGCGUAAAGAGCACGUAGGCGGCUACGUAAGUCGGUUGUGAAAGCCUUCCGCUCAACGGGAGAACAGCAUCCGAUACUGCAUGGCUUGAGUGCGGGAGGGGAGAGUGGAACUUCUGGUGGAGCGGUGAAAUGCGUAGAUAUCAGAAGGAACGCCGGCGGCGAAAGCGGCUCUCUGGCCCAUAACUGACGCUGAGUGUGCGAAAGCUAGGGGAGCAAACGGGAUUAGAUACCCCGGUAGUCCUAGCCGUAAACGAUGGGCACUAAGUAGAGGGGUUUU
This 477-nucleotide ribosomal RNA is filed under the name uncultured bacterium. RNAcentral describes it as "bacterial SSU rRNA". It matches the Rfam family "Bacterial small subunit ribosomal RNA", at positions 365 to 832 of the family's 1533-position model. The record is from RNAcentral.